GACGAACGCUGGCGGCGUGCUUAACACAUGCAAGUCGAACGGAAAGGCCCUGCUUUUGUGGGGUGCUCGAGUGGCGAACGGGUGAGUAACACGUGAGUAACCUGCCCUUGACUUUGGGAUAACUUCAGGAAACUGGGGCUAAUACCGGAUAGGAGCUCCUGCUGCAUGGUGGGGGUUGGAAAGUUUCGGCGGUUGGGGAUGGACUCGCGGCUUAUCAGCUUGUUGGUGGGGUAGUGGCUUACCAAGGCUUUGACGGGUAGCCGGCCUGAGAGGGUGACCGGCCACAUUGGGACUGAGAUACGGCCCAGACUCCUACGGGAGGCAGCAGUGGGGAAUAUUGCACAAUGGGCGGAAGCCUGAUGCAGCAACGCCGCGUGCGGGAUGACGGCCUUCGGGUUGUAAACCGCUUUCGCCUGUGACGAAGCGUGAGUGACGGUAAUGGGUAAAGAAGCACCGGCUAACUACGUGCCAGCAGCCGCGGUGAUACGUAGGGUGCGAGCGUUGUCCGGAUUUAUUGGGCGUAAAGGGCUCGUAGGUGGUUGAUCGCGUCGGAAGUGUAAUCUUGGGGCUUAACCCUGAGCGUGCUUUCGAUACGGGUUGACUUGAGGAAGGUAGGGGAGAAUGGAAUUCCUGGUGGAGCGGUGGAAUGCGCAGAUAUCAGGAGGAACACCAGUGGCGAAGGCGGUUCUCUGGGCCUUUCCUGACGCUGAGGAGCGAAAGCGUGGGGAGCGAACAGGCUUAGAUACCCUGGUAGUCCACGCUGUAAACGGUGGGUACUAGGUGUGGGGUCCAUUCCACGGGUUCCGUGCCGUAGCUAACGCUUUAAGUACCCCGCCUGGGGAGUACGGCCGCAAGGCUAAAACCCAAAGGAAUUGACGGGGCCCCGCACAAGCGGCGGAGCAUGCGGAUUAAUUCGAUGCAACGCGUAGAACCUUACCUGGGUUUGACAUGGAUCGGGAGUGCUCAGAGAUGGGUGUGCCUCUUUUGGGGUCGGUUCACAGGUGGUGCAUGCCUGUCGUCAGCUCGUGUCGUGAGAUGUUGGGUUAAGUCCCGCAACGAGCGCAACCCUUGUUCACUGUUGCCAGCACGUUAUGGUGGGGACUCAGUGGAGACCGCCGGGGUCAACUCGGAGGAAGGUGGGGAUGACGUCAAGUCAUCAUGCCCCUUAUGUCCAGGGCUUCACGCAUGCUACAAUGGCUGGUACAGAGAGUGGCGAGCCUGUGAGGGUGAGCGAAUCUCGGAAAGCCGGUCUCAGUUCGGAUUGGGGUCUGCGACUCGACCUCAUGAAGUCGGAGUCGCUAGUAAUCGCAGAUCAGCAACGCUGCGGUGAAUACGUUCCCGGGGCU
RNAcentral lists this ribosomal RNA (1346 nucleotides) under uncultured bacterium. RNAcentral's name for it is "partial 16S ribosomal RNA". It matches the Rfam family "Bacterial small subunit ribosomal RNA", at positions 28 to 1381 of the family's 1533-position model. The record is from RNAcentral.